GUUGGAUUGGAGGGCAUCGUUGCUGGGACAAUGAUAGGGUGGACUGAGUUUGUCCUUCUUGAGGCAACAAUCUCAUGACUAGAUUUUCCAGAUUAUCAAAUCGUUGUCUCACAUCAUCACAAGUCUGCUUAUGAGCUUGUAGUUGUUGUUUGAACUGGACAACAGUCUUGUCAACUGCAGGAUACAGAUGAUUAUUGCUUUAAUACAACCUCUUCCAGUAGUGUAAUUGGCAACAAGUUGUCCUGCCUC
Molecule: long non-coding RNA, 249 nt
Filed under: Vigna radiata
Lineage: Eukaryota; Viridiplantae; Streptophyta; Magnoliopsida; Fabales; Fabaceae
Description: long non-coding RNA (VRAD_LNC005405)
Source: RNAcentral